CUUUAUGGCAGCUGUGUGCGGGAGACUUUCGAGUCUGCCGGUUCGCUUUCAUUCCCGGUUCGCCAACCCGAGCACAGCUGCCACCCUU
RNAcentral lists this non-coding RNA (88 nucleotides) under Pseudomonas sp. NFACC56-3. Lineage: Bacteria; Pseudomonadati; Pseudomonadota; Gammaproteobacteria; Pseudomonadales; Pseudomonadaceae. The record is from RNAcentral. RNAcentral also lists the same sequence under 3 other names.